Molecule: ribosomal RNA, 253 nt
Filed under: uncultured bacterium
Lineage: Bacteria
Description: partial 16S ribosomal RNA
Rfam family: Bacterial small subunit ribosomal RNA
Source: RNAcentral
UACGUAGGGGGCAAGCGUUGUCCGGAAUCAUUGGGCGUAAAGCGCGCGUAGGCGGCCCGGUAAGUCCGUUGUGAAAGUCAAAGGCUCAACCUUUGAAUGCCGAUGGAUACUGCCGGGCUGGAGUCCGGAAGAGGCGAGUGGAAUUCCUGGUGUAGCGGUGGAAUGCGCAGAUAUCAGGAGGAACACCAAUAGCGAAGGCAGCUCGCUGGGACGGUACUGACGCUGAGGCGCGAAAGCGUGGGGAGCGAACAGG